UAAGGUAGAGGUGCGGCUGCGAUGAUUACCUCUGUACGGGAUUACCAGUCCUAUCGUGCAGAGCGAAAGGCAAUGCCGCCGAAGGACAGUCUCCGGUAAAGUCUGUUCUGGUCACCGGCUCAACAGGUCUGUGACUGUCAUCAUACAAUGAUGGAGAGCUAUCGG
This 165-nucleotide non-coding RNA is filed under the name Ruminococcus flavefaciens. RNAcentral describes it as "Lysine riboswitch". It matches the Rfam family "Lysine riboswitch aptamer". Rfam says of the family: Riboswitches are metabolite binding domains within certain messenger RNAs that serve as precision sensors for their corresponding targets. Allosteric rearrangement of mRNA structure is mediated by ligand binding, and this results in modulation of gene expression. This family includes riboswitches that sense lysine in a number of genes involved in lysine metabolism, including lysC. Lineage: Bacteria; Bacillati; Bacillota; Clostridia; Eubacteriales; Oscillospiraceae. The record is from RNAcentral.